GACGAACGCUGGCGGCGUGCCUAACACAUGCAAGUGGAGCGACGAACCAGGCUUCGGCCUGGGGCAAAGCCGCGAACGGGUGAGUAACACGUGGGUAACCUGCCCUGAUGAUUGGGACAACCCGAGGAAACUCGGGCUAAUACCAAAUGUGCCCUUCGGCCAUAAGGCCGCCGGGGAAAGGAAGCUUCGGCCUCCGCAUCUGGAUGGGCCCGCGGCCCAUUAGCUUGUUGGUGAGGUAACGGCNCACCAAGGCGACGAUGGGUAGCUGGUCUGAGAGGACGAUCAGCCACACUGGGACUGAGACACGGCCCAGACUCUACGGGAGGCAGCAGUGGGGAAUCUUGCGCAAUGCGCGAAAGCGUGACGCAGCAACGCCGCGU
Molecule: ribosomal RNA, 380 nt
Filed under: uncultured bacterium
Lineage: Bacteria
Description: bacterial SSU rRNA
Rfam family: Bacterial small subunit ribosomal RNA
Source: RNAcentral